AUUGAACGCUGGCGGCAUGCCUUACACAUGCAAGUCGAACGGUAACAGGUUAAGCUGACGAGUGGCGAACGGGUGAGUAAUAUAUCGGAACGUGCCCAGUCGUGGGGGAUAACGUAGCGAAAGCUACGCUAAUACCGCAUACGAUCUACGGAUGAAAGCGGGGGAUCGCAAGACCUCGCGCGAUUGGAGCGGCCGAUAUCAGAUUAGGUUGUUGGUGAGGUAAAGGCUCACCAAGCCUGCGAUCUGUAGCUGGUCUGAGAGGACGACCAGCCACACUGGAACUGGGACACGGGCCAGACUCCUACGGGAGGCAGCAGUGGGGAAUUUUGGACAAUGGUCGCAAGUCUGAUCCAGCAAUGCCGCGUGCAGGUCGAAGGCCUUCGGGUGGUAAACUGCUUUUGUACGGAACGAAACGGCGAGCUCUAAUACAGUUUGCUAAUGACGGUACCGUAAGAAUAAGCACCGGCUAACUACGUGCCAGCAGCCGCCGUAA
Molecule: ribosomal RNA, 493 nt
Filed under: uncultured bacterium
Lineage: Bacteria
Description: partial 16S ribosomal RNA
Rfam family: Bacterial small subunit ribosomal RNA
Source: RNAcentral